CGAACGGGUGAGUAACGCGUGAGGAACCUGCCUCAAAGAGGGGGACAACAGUUGGAAACGACUGCUAAUACCGCAUAAGCCCACGGCUCGGCAUCGAGCAGAGGGAAAAGGAACAAUCCGCUUUGAGAUGGCCUCGCGUCCGAUUAGCUAGUUGGUGAGGUAACGGCCCACCAAGGCGACGAUCGAUAGCCGGACUGAGAGGUUGAACGGCCACAUUGGGACUGAGACACGGCCCAG
RNAcentral lists this ribosomal RNA (237 nucleotides) under uncultured bacterium. RNAcentral describes it as "partial 16S ribosomal RNA". It matches the Rfam family "Bacterial small subunit ribosomal RNA", at positions 99 to 334 of the family's 1533-position model. The record is from RNAcentral.